Molecule: unclassified non-coding RNA, 329 nt
Filed under: soil metagenome
Description: partial contains 5.8S ribosomal RNA, internal transcribed spacer 2, and large subunit ribosomal RNA
Rfam family: 5.8S ribosomal RNA (bases 5-119)
Source: RNAcentral
GAUGAGAACGUAGCGAAAUGCGAUAAGUAAUGUGAAUUGCAGAAUUCAGUGAAUCAUCGAAUCUUUGAACGCACAUUGCGCCCCUUGGUAUUCCGAGGGGCAUGCCUGUUCGAGCGUCAUUAUAACCCCUCAAGCUUAGCUUGGUGUUGGGGCCUGCUGUAAUAGAGCAGCCCUUAAAAUCAGUGGCGGUGCCAUUAGGCUCUAAGCGUAGUAAUUCUUCUCGCUAUAGGGUUCUGGUGGAUGCUUGCCAUUAACCUCUAAUUUUCUAUGGUUGACCUCGGAUCAGGUAGGGAUACCCGCUGAACUUAAGCAUAUCAAUAAGCGGAGGA